UCACGUAAUGGUUAUUGUCUCUGUACAAAAUCAGUAAUGUUGCAUUACUUUUUUAAAUUUAAGUCUUGUCUCUUAACCUGCAUCAAAAUAAGUAAAAUCACCUAAAUUAUGCAAUAAAUAACUCAAUUAUGUAUUUAAAACAAGUGAUAAAAAUUUAUUUAUGCGCACUAUCAAAAAUUUUCUCACUUCUUAACCUAUAGAUGUCCAUACCUCUUCAAUUUUAGUAAUCUAUUAAUUUAUAGUUUAUUU
Molecule: long non-coding RNA, 249 nt
Filed under: Carica papaya (papaya)
Lineage: Eukaryota; Viridiplantae; Streptophyta; Magnoliopsida; Brassicales; Caricaceae
Description: long non-coding RNA (CPAP_LNC008205)
Source: RNAcentral